AUUUUGAUUAACGAUCGUAUUUAUUCGAUUGACAUUUUAGUUAAUGUUCUACUAAAAGAAAUGGCUGAAAUAUAUUAUUUUUAUAAUGACAAUAAAAUAGAAAAGGAAAACAAAUUGUUUUUAAAAAAUGACUUUACUAGCGCUUAUCUGCCUAUCGUUUUUAAAUAUUCCAAAAAUUAUUUAAAAAACGACGAGACGACUGAAAAGCCCAAGUUUGUUUUUGAGUUUGACGAACUUGGGGUACCAACCAAGCUUGAAAAAGCAGACAACGUAGGUAUGAAAGUAAACGGUGUAGGUAUGAAAGUAGACGGUGUAGGUAUGAAAGUAGACGGUGUAGGUAUGAAAGUAGAUGACGUGAUUACGCAGAGAGAUGGCGUGACUAUGAAAGCAGACGAUACAUGUGAUACCAAAACCAACGAUCACCUAUCCGAAAGAGCACGCUUCGAAGCUGAAAAAGACAAAUUCGAUUUUGAAAGUUUAAUUAACAGAAUAGCUGAAAAUGAUCAUGAUGAAAUGUUCAAAGAGAUUAUAGAAUAUAGAAAAAUAAAAUAUAAAGAUAAUACAGAAAUAACAAAAUGUUUGGAAGAGUAUUUACUUACGUAUGAAAGGGUUAAUGCGAUGAAGUAUGCACCCCCAGACGAUGUCAAAAAAGAUAGCACGUCUAAUAAGACUGACAUUAAUAGUAAGAGUAACACAGACAUAUAUGUUAACAAUAUCAACAGUGCCAACCCAGAUAACAUUACCGAGCUGACAUUCGAACCGAACGACAUAAAAACGGCAUAUCUAAACUAUAUGUACAAAUAUAUAGAAUAUAUGAUUGAAAAAAAAGAACUACCUAUAAGUUUUAAUAACGUGAAUGAUGAUUGGAUUAAUUGCUUAACCGAAUUAGAAAAUCAAAAAAUUGUAUUAUAUUCAACUAAAAAUACAAGUGGUCAUUUAUAUAAUUUAUUAAUUAACAGUAACGCAUGUUCACCUAAAAGAGCUUUAUAUAUUCUUGAACAAAGCUUACAAAAAAAAACAAAAGAUGAAAAAACAGAAGAAGCAUUAUUACAUGAUCAUUUGUUAAAAGAAUCAACUGUUUCUAGUAGCGAACAAAAAGAUUCUAUUAAAAAUUUCGAUGAGUUUGUUUUAUGGUUAAACAAAAAUAAAAAAAAAAAUUAUGAACGAUUAGAAGAUUAUAAAUUGUUACAAACACAUAAUGAUUCAUCUAAUAUUGAUAAUAGUAAUAUAAAUAAUGACAUCAAAGAAGUUAUAGACCAAUAUAAUGCAAUAUAUGAUAGUAAUAAUAAUGCAGUUAAUAAAACUAUAGACCCUAACAAUGUUACUAUAGAUAAUUUAAAAGAUUUAGUUAAAAGGCAUAACAUAUCGAAAGAAGAAAUACAAACGGCUAUAAGUCAGUUGGACAUGGCUUCUGAUUUCGACAUAGAUUCUUUAUAUGAAUAGGUUUGGAUAUUGUAGUUAAUAUUUGCUGCGUAAGUGGCUAGCAAGUGAUUAGCAAGUGGCUAGCAUGUGAUUAGC
RNAcentral lists this long non-coding RNA (1518 nucleotides) under Piliocolobus tephrosceles (Ugandan red Colobus). Its description in RNAcentral is "lncRNA (ENSPTEG00000003620.1)". Lineage: Eukaryota; Metazoa; Chordata; Mammalia; Primates; Cercopithecidae. The record is from RNAcentral.